GACGAACGCUGGCGGCGCGCUUAACACAUGCAAGUCGAACGGAAAGGCCUGCUUUCCCUUGUGGAUUGCGGGUACUCGAGUGGCGAACGGGUGAGUAACACGUGAGUGAUCUGCCCCCAACUUGGGUAUAAGCCUGGGAAACUGGGUCUAAUUCCCGAUAGGACUGCAGGGUGGUGCCUGUGGUGGAAAACGAUUUUCUAGUGGUUGGGGAUGAGCUCGCGGCCUAUCAGCUUGUUGGUGGGGUAAUGGCCUACCAAGGCGGCGACGGGUAGCCGGCCUGAGAGGGUGGACGGCCACAUUGGGACUGAGAUACGGCCCAGACUCCUACGGGAGGCAGCAGUGGGGAAUAUUGCACAAUGGGCGGAAGCCUGAUGCAGCGACGCCGCGUGGGGGAUGACGGCCUUCGGGUGGUAAACUCCUUUCGACCGCGGGGAAGCCACCUGGUUGGAAGGGUGGUGACGGUAGUGGUAGAAGAAGCACCGGCUAACUACGUG
RNAcentral lists this ribosomal RNA (494 nucleotides) under uncultured bacterium. RNAcentral describes it as "partial 16S ribosomal RNA". It matches the Rfam family "Bacterial small subunit ribosomal RNA", at positions 28 to 507 of the family's 1533-position model. The record is from RNAcentral.